This 582-nucleotide ribosomal RNA is filed under the name uncultured fungus. RNAcentral's name for it is "SSU rRNA". It matches the Rfam family "Eukaryotic small subunit ribosomal RNA", at positions 83 to 668 of the family's 1831-position model. The record is from RNAcentral. Lineage: Eukaryota; Fungi.
GAAACUGCGAAUGGCUCAUUAUAUAAGUUAUCGUUCAUUUGAUAGUGCCUUACUACUUGGAUAACCGUGGUAAUUCUAGAGCUAAUACAUGCUAAAAACCCCGACUUCGGAAGGGGUGUAUUUAUUAGAUACAAAACCAAUGCCCUUCGGGGCUCCUUGGUGAUUCAUGAUAACUAUACGAAUCGCACGGCCUUGCGCCGGCGAUGGUUCAUUCAAAUUUCUUCCCUAUCAACUUUCGAUGUUUGGGUAUUGGCCAAACAUGGUUGCAACGGGUAACGGAGGGUUAGGGCUCGACCCCGGAGAAGGAGCCUGAGAAACGGCUACUACAUCCAAGGAAGGCAGCAGGCGCGCAAAUUACCCAAUCCCGACUCGGGGAGGUAGUGACAAUAAAUACUGAUACAGGGCCCUUUCGGGCCUUGUAAUUGGAAUGAGUACAAUUUAAAUCCCUUAACGAGGAACAAUUGGAGGGCAAGUCUGGUGCCAGCAGCCGCGGUAAUUCCAGCUCCAAUAGCGUAUAUUAAAGUUGUUGUGGUUAAAAAGCUCGUAGUUGAACCUUGGGCCUGGCUGGCCGGUCCGCCUCAC